This 722-nucleotide ribosomal RNA is filed under the name uncultured bacterium. RNAcentral's name for it is "bacterial SSU rRNA". It matches the Rfam family "Bacterial small subunit ribosomal RNA", at positions 1 to 711 of the family's 1533-position model. The record is from RNAcentral.
UAGAGUUGAUAUGGCUCAGAUCAACGCUGGCGGCGUGCCUAACACAUGCAAGUCGAACGCGAAAGCCCCGCAAGGGGUAAGUAGAGUGGCAAACGGGUGAGUAACACGUGGGUGACCUGCCUUCGAGUGGGGGAUAACGUCCCGAAAGGGACGCUAAUACCGCAUAACAUCCUGCCUUUGAAGAGGUGGAGAUCAAAGCUGGGGACCGCAAGGCCUAGCGCUCAAAGAGGGGCCCGCGCCUGAUUAGCUAGUUGGUGGGGUAAUGGCUCACCAAGGCAACGAUCAGUAUCCGGCCUGAGAGGGCGGACGGACACACUGGGACUGAGACACGGCCCAGACUCCUACGGGAGGCAGCAGUGGGGAAUUGUUCGCAAUGGGCGCAAGCCUGACGACGCAACGCCGCGUGGAGGAUGAAGACCUUCGGGUCGUAAACUCCUUUCGAUCGAGACGAACAGCUUCCGGGUGAACAAUCCGGAGGUUUGACGGUACCGAGAGAAGAAGCCCCGGCUAACUCCGUGCCAGCAGCCGCGGUAAUACGGGGGGGGCAAGCGUUGUUCGGAAUUACUGGGCGUAAAGGGCUCGUAGGUGGCCAACUAAGUCAGACGUGAAAUCCCUCGGCUUAACCGGGGAACUGCGUCUGAUACUGGAUGGCUUGAGUUUGGGAGAGGGACGCGGAAUUCCAGGUGUAGCGGUGAAAUGCGUAGAUAUCUGGAGGAACACCG